RNAcentral lists this small nuclear RNA (20 nucleotides) under Arabidopsis thaliana (thale cress). RNAcentral describes it as "snRNA_10438". Lineage: Eukaryota; Viridiplantae; Streptophyta; Magnoliopsida; Brassicales; Brassicaceae. The record is from RNAcentral.
AGCUUCCUUUUCACCAAGCA